RNAcentral lists this ribosomal RNA (141 nucleotides) under Triticum aestivum (bread wheat). RNAcentral's name for it is "partial small subunit ribosomal RNA". Lineage: Eukaryota; Viridiplantae; Streptophyta; Magnoliopsida; Poales; Poaceae. The record is from RNAcentral.
AUGACUAUUGCUUUCCAAUUAGCUGUUUUUGCAUUAAUUGCAACUUCCUCAGUCUUAGUAAUUAGUGUACCCCUUGUAUUUGCUUCUCCUGAUGGUUAUAUAUACGAGUUUAUGUCCUCUACAACAUUCACUUAUUGCUAA